Molecule: long non-coding RNA, 221 nt
Organism: Protopterus annectens (West African lungfish)
Lineage: Eukaryota; Metazoa; Chordata; Ceratodontiformes; Protopteridae
Exons: 3
Source: RefSeq, a predicted model, not a curated record
UUCAUACAGUCGGACCUAUCGCAAGAGGUCAUGUUAGUGAGAACCAUAAAAGGGACCUAGCAAGUUGUUAUAAAACCUCCUUGGACCUGCUGAAAGAAUAUAAGCUGAGAUCUAUUGCCUUUCCUUGUAUUUCAACUGGAAUUUAUGGUUUCCCAAAUGACCCAGCUGCUGACACUGCUCUGAAAACAAUCAAGGACUGGUUAAAGGAAAAUCAUGAUGAG